Molecule: ribosomal RNA, 444 nt
Filed under: uncultured bacterium
Lineage: Bacteria
Description: SSU rRNA
Rfam family: Bacterial small subunit ribosomal RNA
Source: RNAcentral
AGAGCGAACGCUGGCGGCAGGCCUAACACAUGCAAGUCGAGCGCCCAGUAAUGGGAGCGGCAGACGGGAUAGUAACACGUGGGAACGUACCUUUCAGUUCGGAACAACCCAGGGAAACUUGGGCUAAUACCGAAAUACGCCCGUAAGGGGAAAGAUUUAUCGCUGAAAGAUCGGCCCGCGUCUGAUUAGCUAGUUGGUGGGGUAAUGGCCCACCAAGGCGACGAUCAGUAGCUGGUCUGAGAGGAUGAUCAGCAUCACUGGGACUGAGACACGGCCCAGACUCCUACGGGAGGCAGCAGUGGGGAAUAUGGACAAUGGGCGCAAGCCUGAUCCAGCCAUGCCGCGUGGAUGAUGAAGGCCCUAGGGUUGUAAAGUCCUUUCGGCGGGGAAGAUAAUGACGGUACCCGCAGAAGAACGCCCGGCUAACUUCGUGCCAGCAGCCGC